Molecule: ribosomal RNA, 253 nt
Filed under: uncultured bacterium
Lineage: Bacteria
Description: partial 16S ribosomal RNA
Rfam family: Bacterial small subunit ribosomal RNA
Source: RNAcentral
UCCGUAGGGUGCAAGCGUUGUCCGGAAUUAUUGGGCGUAAAGAGCUCGUAGGCGGUCUGUCGCGUCUGCUGUGAAAACUCAGGGCUUAACCCUGAGCUUGCAGUGGGUACGGGCAGACUAGAGUGCGGUAGGGGAGACUGGAAUUCCUGGUGUAGCGGUGAAAUGCGCAGAUAUCAGGAGGAACACCGGUGGCGAAGGCGGGUCUCUGGGCCGUAACUGACGCUGAGACGCGAAAGCGUGGGGAGCGAACAGG